Molecule: ribosomal RNA, 253 nt
Filed under: uncultured bacterium
Lineage: Bacteria
Description: partial 16S ribosomal RNA
Rfam family: Bacterial small subunit ribosomal RNA
Source: RNAcentral
GACAGAGGGUGCAAACGUUGUUCGGAUUUACUGGGCGUAAAGCGCGUGUAGGCGGCUUGGCAAGUCGGAUGUGAAAGCCCUCGGCUCAACCAAGGAAGUGCAUCCGAAACUGCUGAGCUUGAGUACUUAAGAGGAUCGCGGAAUUCCCGGUGUAGAGGUGAAAUUCGUAGAUAUCGGGAGGAACACCAGUGGCGAAGGCGGCGAUCUGGGAAGAUACUGACGCUGAGGUGCGAAAGCGUGGGGAGCAAACAGG